UGCUGGACUGGAGAAUCCACACUGUACACUGGAGAUACUGAGGAUGUGGGGCUGCAGUAUUACAGAUGAAGGUUGUGCUGCUCUGGCUUCAGCUCUGAGGUCAAACUCCUCAUCACACCUGAGAGAACUGGAUCUGAAAUAUAAUAAUCCAGGAGAAUCAGGAGUGAAGCUGCUCUCUGAUCUACUGAAGGAUCCACACUGUAAACUGGAGACACUACACAUUAAGUAUGAUAAACUUACCAGGACUGGCGUAUGACAGGAGUCUCACCUCAAACCUCUUUUCCAGGAUAAAGCAGUUUUGGUGAAGUGUUAGAACCCAUCUCACAUUUCCAGCAGUUUGGGAGCUGAAUCAUUCAUAUUCAGAUGUAGAAGUUCCAUAACAAUAACCGUGAAUGAUCACAUCCUUUUAUCCACUCAGCUACAAGUUACUUCAGGCUUUAAUAACAUAUUUUACAAUCCAAAGUCAAAUCCUUCAGCAUCUACACACAACACAGAGAUAUCAUCACAUCAUCACACUGAUUACA
This is a long non-coding RNA of Pangasianodon hypophthalmus (striped catfish), 524 nucleotides long. RefSeq lists it as uncharacterized. The transcript is spliced from 3 exons. The record is from RefSeq and is a predicted model, not a curated record. NCBI's taxonomy places the organism in Eukaryota, Metazoa, Chordata, Actinopteri, Siluriformes, Pangasiidae.